This 461-nucleotide ribosomal RNA is filed under the name Veillonella parvula. Its description in RNAcentral is "bacterial SSU rRNA". It matches the Rfam family "Bacterial small subunit ribosomal RNA", at positions 28 to 465 of the family's 1533-position model. The record is from RNAcentral. Lineage: Bacteria; Bacillati; Bacillota; Negativicutes; Veillonellales; Veillonellaceae.
GACGAACGCUGGCGGCGUGCUUAACACAUGCAAGUCGAACGAAGAGCGAUGGAAGCUUGCUUCUAUCAAUCUUAGUGGCGAACGGGUGAGUAACGCGUAAUCAACCUGCCCUUCAGAGGGGGACAACAGUUGGAAACGACUGCUAAUACCGCAUACGAUCUAAUCUCGGCAUCGAGGAUAGAUGAAAGGUGGCCUCUACAUGUAAGCUAUCACUGAAGGAGGGGAUUGCGUCUGAUUAGCUAGUUGGAGGGGUAACGGCCCACCAAGGCGAUGAUCAGUAGCCGGUCUGAGAGGAUGAACGGCCACAUUGGGACUGAGACACGGCCCAGACUCCUACGGGAGGCAGCAGUGGGGAAUCUUCCGCAAUGGACGAAAGUCUGACGGAGCAACGCCGCGUGAGUGAUGACGGCCUUCGGGUUGUAAAGCUCUGUUAAUCGGGACGAAAGGCCUUCUUGCGAAUA